RNAcentral lists this ribosomal RNA (978 nucleotides) under Lophotis ruficrista. RNAcentral describes it as "12S ribosomal RNA". It matches the Rfam family "Bacterial small subunit ribosomal RNA". The record is from RNAcentral. Lineage: Eukaryota; Metazoa; Chordata; Aves; Otidiformes; Otididae.
AAAAGACUUAGUCCUAACCUUGCCGUUAAUUCUUGCCAAACAUAUACAUGCAAGUAUCCGCGUUCCAGUGUAAAUGCCCAAGACCCCUUAGACAUUUUAGGCCAAAGGAGCGGGCAUCAGGCGCACCCCAAUGGUAGCCCAAGACGUCUUGCUUAGCCACACCCCCACGGGUAUUCAGCAGUAAUUAACAUUAAGCUAUAAGUGAAAACUUGACUUAGUUAUGGCAGCAUUUAAGGGCCGGUAAAUCUUGUGCCAGCCACCGCGGUCACACAAGAGGCCCAAAUUAACUGUAUGUACGGCGUAAAGCGUGGUAUCAUGUUAUCACAGCAACUAAGAUUAAAAUGUAACUGAGCUGUCAUAAGCUUAAGAUACACCUAAAGCCACCCUCAAAACGAUCUUAGCGCUCUCUGACCGAUUACACCCCACGAAAGCUAAGAAACAAACUGGGAUUAGAUACCCCACUAUGCUUAGCCCUAAAUCUUGGUACUUAUUCCACCAAAGUGCCCGCCCGAGAAUUACGAGCACAAACGCUUAAAACUCUAAGGACUUGGCGGUGCCCCAAACCCACCUAGAGGAGCCUGUUCUAUAAUCGAUAACCCACGAUAUACCCGACCACUCCUUGCCAAGACAGCCUACAUACCGCCGUCGCCAGCUCACCCCACUGAGGGCACAGCAGUGAGCAUAAUAGCCGCCCCCCGCUAGCAAGACAGGUCAAGGUAUAGCCUAUGGAGUGGAAGAAAUGGGCUACAUUUUCUAGAAUAGAAAAUUCCACGAAGGGGGGCAUGAAACUGCCCCCGGAAGGCGGAUUUAGUAGUAAAGCGGAAUAAUUAAGCCCCCUUUAAACCGGCCCUGGGGCACGUACAUACCGCCCGUCACCCUCCUCACAAGCCACAAACAGCUAUAGUUAAUAUGUAAAUCAGCUGAAGAUGAGGUAAGUCGUAACAAGGUAAGUGUACCGGAAGGUGUACUUAGCAUAUC